GAAGUCUUCAAACAGUUUCUGUUUUGGUGGGUUAAAGCAGCAGAGGAAGAGAUCCAUGCUUGGUGUAUGAUUACAUGAUUCUUUCUCAACACCCAUGGAUGUUCUCUACUCUAAAAGUGUUUGUUUAUCUUGAUUAGAUAAUGCUGCAAAGGCUUUUAUGUGGCUGGAGAAAGCAGAAGAUUGUUUUGUCGCAAGAAGUGUA
Molecule: long non-coding RNA, 202 nt
Organism: Pezoporus occidentalis (night parrot)
Lineage: Eukaryota; Metazoa; Chordata; Aves; Psittaciformes; Psittacidae
Exons: 3
Source: RefSeq, a predicted model, not a curated record